RNAcentral lists this ribosomal RNA (499 nucleotides) under uncultured bacterium. RNAcentral's name for it is "partial 16S ribosomal RNA". It matches the Rfam family "Bacterial small subunit ribosomal RNA", at positions 28 to 507 of the family's 1533-position model. The record is from RNAcentral.
GACGAACGCUGGCGGCGUGCCUAAUACAUGCAAGUCGAGCGAAGUUUUUCUGGUGCUUGCACCGGAAAAACUUAGCGGCGAACGGGUGAGUAACACGUAAAGAACCUGCCUCAUAGACUGGGACAACUAUUGGAAACGAUAGCUAAUAACGGAUAACAGCAUUAACUGCAUGGUUGAUGUUUAAAAGUUGGUUUUGCUAACACUAUGAGAUGGCUUUGCGGUGCAUUAGCUAGUUGGUGGGGUAAAGGCCUACCAAGGCGACGAUGGAUAGCCGACCUGAGAGGGUGAUCGGCCACACUGGGACUGGGACGCGGCCCAGACUCCUACGGGAGGCAGCAGUAGGGAAUCGUCCGCAAUGGGCGAAAGCCUGACGGAGCAACGCCGCGUGAGUGAAGAAGGAUUUCGGUUCGUAAAGCUCUGUUGUUAGUGAAGAAUGAUUGUGUAGUAACUAUACACAGUAGAGACGGUACCUAACCAGAAAGCCACGGCUAACUACGUG